AUACGUAGGGGGCAAGCGUUGUCCGGAAUUAUUGGGCGUAAAGGGUGCGUAGGCGGCCUUUUAAGUCAGAUGUGAAAGACCACGGCUUAACCGUGGGGUUGCAUUUGAAACUGGAGGGCUUGAGUAUCGGAGAGGGUAGUGGAAUUCCCAGUGUAGCGGUGAUAUGCGUAGAUAUUGGGAGGAACACCAGUGGCGAAGGCGACUACCUGGACGAAAACUGACGCUGAUGCACGAAAGCUAGGGGAGCAAACAGGAUUAGAUACCCUGGUAGUCCUAGCCGUAAACGAUGGGUACUAGGUGUAGGGGGUUUCGAUACCUUCUGUGCCGGAGUUAACGCAUUAAGUACCCCGCCUGGGGAGUACGUGCGCAAGCAUGAA
Molecule: ribosomal RNA, 377 nt
Filed under: uncultured bacterium
Lineage: Bacteria
Description: bacterial SSU rRNA
Rfam family: Bacterial small subunit ribosomal RNA
Source: RNAcentral